RNAcentral lists this ribosomal RNA (445 nucleotides) under uncultured bacterium. RNAcentral's name for it is "bacterial SSU rRNA". It matches the Rfam family "Bacterial small subunit ribosomal RNA", at positions 331 to 793 of the family's 1533-position model. The record is from RNAcentral.
CCAGACUCCUACGGGAGGCAGCAGUGGGGAAUAUUGGACAAUGGGGGAAACCCUGAUCCAGCGACGCCGCGUGAGUGAAGAAGUAUUUCGGUACGUAAAGCUCUAUCAGCAGGAAAGAAAAUGACGGUACCUGACUAAGAAGCCCCGGCUAACUACGUGCCAGCAGCCGCGGUAAUACGUAGGGGGCAAGCGUUAUCCGGAAUUACUGGGUGUAAAGGGAGCGUAGACGGUGAAGUAAGUCUGGAGUGAAAGGCGGGGGCCCAACCCCCGGACUGCUCUGGAAACUAUUUGACUGGAGUGCAGGAGAGGUAAGCGGAAUUCCUAGUGUAGCGGUGAAAUGCGUAGAUAUUAGGAGGAACACCAGUGGCGAAGGCGGCUUGCUGGACGACAACUGACGCUGAGGCUCGAAAGCGUGGGGAGCAAACAGGAUUAGAUACCCUCGUAC